This 75-nucleotide transfer RNA is filed under the name Magallana gigas (Pacific oyster). RNAcentral's name for it is "Crassostrea gigas (Pacific oyster) tRNA". It matches the Rfam family "tRNA". From Rfam's summary of the family: Transfer RNA (tRNA) molecules are approximately 80 nucleotides in length. Their secondary structure includes four short double-helical elements and three loops (D, anti-codon, and T loops). Further hydrogen bonds mediate the characteristic L-shaped molecular structure. tRNAs have two regions of fundamental functional importance: the anti-codon, which is responsible for specific mRNA codon recognition, and the 3' end, to which the tRNAs corresponding amino acid is attached (by aminoacyl-tRNA synthetases). tRNAs cope with the degeneracy of the genetic code in two manners: having more than one tRNA (with a specific anti-codon) for a particular amino acid; and 'wobble' base-pairing, i.e. permitting non-standard base-pairing at the 3rd anti-codon position. Lineage: Eukaryota; Metazoa; Mollusca; Bivalvia; Ostreida; Ostreidae. The record is from Rfam by way of RNAcentral.
CCAGAUAUAGCUCAGUUGGUAGAGCACCUGACUCUAUAGGGAUUCAGGGGGAUCAGGUUCGAACCCCGAUCUGGU